RNAcentral lists this ribosomal RNA (433 nucleotides) under uncultured bacterium. RNAcentral's name for it is "partial 16S ribosomal RNA". It matches the Rfam family "Bacterial small subunit ribosomal RNA", at positions 29 to 507 of the family's 1533-position model. The record is from RNAcentral.
AACGAACGCUGGCGGCAUGCCUAACACAUGCAAGUCGAACGAGACCUUCGGGUCUAGUGGCGCACUGGUGCGUAACGCGUUGGAACCUGCCCUUAGGUUCGGAAUAACUCCCCGAAAGGGGUGCUAAUACCGGAUAAUGUCUUCGGACCAAAGAUUUAUCGCCUUUGGAUGGGCCCGCGUUGGAUUAGCUAGUUGGUAGGGUAAAAGCCUACCAAGGCGACGAUCCAUAGCUGGUCUGAGAGGAUGAUCAGCCACACUGGGACUGAGACACGGCCCAGACUCCUACGGGAGGGAGCAGUGGGGAAUAUUGGAAAAUGGGGGAAAGGCUGAUGCAGCAAGGCCGGGUGAGUGAUGAAGGCCGGAGGGUUGUAAAGCUCGUUUACACGGGAUGAUAAUGACAGUACCGGGAGAAUAAGCUCCGGCUAACUCCGUG